This 342-nucleotide unclassified non-coding RNA is filed under the name Borreliella afzelii. Its description in RNAcentral is "partial 5S-23S ribosomal RNA intergenic spacer". Lineage: Bacteria; Pseudomonadati; Spirochaetota; Spirochaetia; Spirochaetales; Borreliaceae. The record is from RNAcentral.
UCCAGGACGCUCAUAGACUCUUAUUACUUUGACCAUAUUUUUAUCUUCCAUCUCUAUUUUGCCAAUUUGUUUAUACAACAUAGAAUAAUAUAUAUCUUUGUUUAAUCCAUGUCAAUAUAUAUAUUAUUUUUUAUAUUAUUUGAAUGUUUUAUUCAAAUAAUAUAAACAUUUAAAAAAUAAAUUCAAGAUUUAAAGUAUAAAAUAAAAACCCUGGCAAUAACUUACUCUCCCGCGAACUCGCAGUACCAUCAGCAAUAAAAGCUAUAAGUGAACAGAGUCUAUGGUGAAUGCCUAGGAGCUUUAAGGCGAAGAAGGUCGAACUUGGUAACUGGGUUUGCUUUG